Molecule: long non-coding RNA, 421 nt
Filed under: Homo sapiens (human)
Lineage: Eukaryota; Metazoa; Chordata; Mammalia; Primates; Hominidae
Description: HSALNT0311068
Source: RNAcentral
CUCUCAGAAGCUUGCUGCCAUGUUAUAAAGAAGCUCAGAUGGAUCACUGGAUGAUGAGAAGCCUCAAGGAGAGAUGCCCUAAAGGAUGAGAGGCCAUCUUGAAAGUUCCAGCCCCUGCAGAGCUCCUACCUUAAUGCAGCCACACAAGUGACCACAGCUAUUCCACAAGGAGCAGAACCCAACCAACCCACAAAACUGAGAAAAAUAAUACCUUGUUGUGUUAAGUCACUAAGUUUGAGUGGCUUGUGAUACUGCAAGAGAACUGAAGCAGACCUCUUCAGACAGAUUAAAAUGGGGGACCCUGGCUAUUGCUGGGCUCCUCUGGGAAGAGUCUCCUAAAGAGAUGUCUUAGGCCCCUUUGCCCAAAUGGCUGCAGAGGGUUUCCUUGUGGUAUGACUUUCACACUUAUGGACCACGCCCA